This is a long non-coding RNA of Drosophila serrata, 755 nucleotides long. The record is from RefSeq and is a predicted model, not a curated record. Lineage: Eukaryota; Metazoa; Arthropoda; Insecta; Diptera; Drosophilidae.
GUUAUUCCGUUGACAGUUAUUAAAACUUCUCAUUCUUUCAUUUUCAUUUGUACUUCACAGCGGCAAAUCUAAAAAUACGUAAAGAAGACCAGGCUCACAGCUGCAGCUGCGGCAGGGCGUGUUCCGGCAGUACUUGCUGUGGACACGCCCAGCAUCCCGCCUACGUCGUGCACAGUCUUGAUCGCUGUUGUGCAGGUUGCGUCGUGCGAAGAGCUCGACCUGCAGCAGCGAUUCAUGGACAAAGCGUGCUUCAACGAGAUCCAAACACAUUCGACGUUUGCAGCGGAACAGCUAAAACAUGGACAUGCACAGUCUUGCACAGUCUUGUUCCCUGUUGUCAGGUUGCGUCGUGCGAAGAGCUCGACCUACAGCAGGGAAUCAUGGACAUGUAACAUCAUGGAACAGCUUAAACUAUGACCACCAAGUCGUCGCGCAGAACGCAGUUGGGCAGACCAGAAUGCUAUCAACCCCGGCAUCCGCAGCGGCAAAAAUGAAUCGAAUAACUGUUUAACCCGUUCGAUUAGGUUGCCAUCGUCACGCAACACAAUCACCGGUAUAUGCAGCACGGGACCAGAUCGUUGGACGUCAUACAGCCGUUGAAGUUUUUGCAGAGCAAGGUGCCAUCAAGACGUUACUCCACCACCUGAACCCUGGACUCCACAGACUAAUUACCAAAAUAAAAAGAAACACAAACAUUUUGGAACGAACGAAAUUUUCAACUGUGCUCAAAAUAAAAACCAAAACGAAUUAAGCAA